AUUGAACGCUGGCGGCAUGCUUUACACAUGCAAGUCGAACGGUAACAGGCCUUCGGGUGCUGACGAGUGGCGAACGGGUGAGUAAUGCAUCGGAACGUACCCAGAGGUGGGGGAUAACGCAGCGAAAGCUGUGCUAAUACCGCAUGUGAUCUGAGGAUGAAAGCGGGGGACCGAGCAGCAAUGUUUGGCCUCGCGCCUUUGGAGCGGCCGAUGUCGGAUUAGCUAGUUGGUGGGGUAAAGGCCUACCAAGGCGACGAUCCGUAGCUGGGCUGAGAGGACGACCAGCCACACUGGGACUGAGACACGGCCCAGACUCCUACGGGAGGCAGCAGUGGGGAAUUUUGGACAAUGGGCGCAAGCCUGAUCCAGCAAUGCCGCGUGCGGGAAGAAGGCCUUCGGGUUGUAAACCGCUUUUGGCAGGAACGAAACGGUGUCCGCUAAUACCGGGCGCUAAUGACGGUACCUGCAGAAUAAGCACCGGCUAACUACGUG
Molecule: ribosomal RNA, 492 nt
Filed under: uncultured bacterium
Lineage: Bacteria
Description: partial 16S ribosomal RNA
Rfam family: Bacterial small subunit ribosomal RNA
Source: RNAcentral